RNAcentral lists this long non-coding RNA (237 nucleotides) under Nicotiana benthamiana. RNAcentral's name for it is "long non-coding RNA (NBEN_LNC030079)". Lineage: Eukaryota; Viridiplantae; Streptophyta; Magnoliopsida; Solanales; Solanaceae. The record is from RNAcentral.
UUGAGAGUAAGCAUUACACAAUAUCCAAGAUGAUCUUUUUGAAAAAAAGAGAAUAGAUCAUCCAUUUUUCUACCGCAUAUCCUAGUUUGACACCAAGCAAUGAAGCUUUUUCUCUAAAAGAAUUUUCCUAAAUUCUUUUUUACUAAGAGUUUGUCAUUAAUCAAAAUUUUUAUAUAUACACAAUUAGGUAUUGUGAGGAGCCUAAUAAGCUCUUUCACUGGAAAGGAAAGCGUCAAA